UCCAUCUAAAACCAGGUGCGGUCGCGGCCUCCAGGUGAUAACCUGGGUGGUUUCGCGCCGCAUUCCUGCACCCUUUUUUUACGAGCACCUUUGUUCUCCUUCGGCGGGGCAACCUACCGCUGGAACUUGAUAAAACCUUUUUUUGCAUCUAGCAUUACCUGUUCUGAUACAAAUAAUCGUUA
This 182-nucleotide unclassified non-coding RNA is filed under the name soil metagenome. RNAcentral's name for it is "partial internal transcribed spacer 1". The record is from RNAcentral.